RNAcentral lists this ribosomal RNA (468 nucleotides) under uncultured bacterium. Its description in RNAcentral is "partial 16S ribosomal RNA". It matches the Rfam family "Bacterial small subunit ribosomal RNA", at positions 28 to 507 of the family's 1533-position model. The record is from RNAcentral.
GACGAACGCUGGCGGCGUGCUUAACACAUGCAAGUCGAACGGAAAGGCCCUGCUUUUGUGGGGUGCUCGAGUGGCGAACGGGUGAGUAACACGUGAGUAACCUGCCCUUGACUUUGGGAUAACUUCAGGAAACUGGGGCUAAUACCGGAUAGGAGCUCCUGCUGCAUGGUGGGGGUUGGAAAGUUUCGGCGGUUGGGGAUGGACUCGCGGCUUAUCAGCUUGUUGGUGGGGUAGUGGCUUACCAAGGCUUUGACGGGUAGCCGGCCUGAGAGGGUGACCGGCCACAUUGGGACUGAGAUACGGCCCAGACUCCCACGGGAGGCAGCAGUGGGGAAUAUUGCACAAUGGGCGGGAGCCUGAUGCAGCAACGCCGCGUGCGGGAUGACGGCCUUCGGGUUGUAAACCGCUUUCGCCUGUGACGAAGCGUGAGUGACGGUAAUGGGUAAAGAAGCACCGGCUAACUACGUG